Molecule: long non-coding RNA, 2235 nt
Organism: Pipistrellus kuhlii (Kuhl's pipistrelle)
Lineage: Eukaryota; Metazoa; Chordata; Mammalia; Chiroptera; Vespertilionidae
Exons: 3
Source: RefSeq, a predicted model, not a curated record
AAUGAGUGUGUUGUUUUUAUUCAGUUUCAUAAUUUUACAAUUGGAGAAAUAUUCCUUUGAAAUACAAACUACAGAAAGCACAGCCUGUUUAAAUAUUAUGAACUGGCGGCGUAUGGGUUAACAGAAGUUAAGAAAAACUGGCUAAUAAAUUAAGUCAAUUUAUUAUCAAUACUGAAGUAUUACAAAUAAAAUGUACUCUAUGUACAUGAGGGGUUCUUCCAUGCAGAAUAUUAGAGACCUAAUUGAUAUGCAUCAGCCAGAUGAUUUUCAAGUUAAUAUAAUUCUGAAAAACAAUCUAAAGUUAAAUAAAUAUUCAACUGGUAAAAACUACAAAUAAUCUGUUUAACAAUAUUUUAAGGCACUACAAUGGGAUGGUCAGCAUCUUCUCUCUAGUGGGAAGAAUUUACAGCUCUGGGUCAUGAUGGUUGCUAAGGAAAUAGCACUUUACCACGAUUUGUGUAUCUUACAGACUGAUGAUCAGGAAGUGCGGACAUCCGUAUUUCAUGACCUUGAUAUCUCAUUACAGGCAAGAGGUGAUGGCCACUGCCAACUUCCUGGUUUCUUCUUUAAACAAGGAACAUUUAGACAUCUCCAACAUAUUCUGGUACAGUGAUAGAAAAACAUCCCAUAUACUGAAGGGGCUUCUUUUCAGCCUACCUAUUUAUUUUUAUUUUAUUUUUUUUAGUUAUUGGUACAAAACUUCAUAGUUAUUUCUGUAAAAAAAAAAAAUUAAAAGACUUCUAAUUAAUGAUGUUGGUGAUCAAUAAGAGUAACUAUUAAAAACUUCAUAGUAUUCAUAAUAAGCCCCCGGUUUGGUGAUUAGGUAGUUUUUAAAAUAUAUAUUUGACUUCUCCUUGAGAAGAAAUGUGUAAGCAGUUUUAUAUAUUUAAGGUGUGUUUUUUUUUUUAACUUAGAGAUUUUAAGUACAUACAAAUACACUUACAGAUUGUGCCAUGUCAUUUCUUUCCUUUCAAGGGAAUAUUAUAUGCAAAGCUUAUGUCAUCUGAAACAGCCAUUUUAGAUUAUGUUUCACAUUUCCCCCUUGUUGAAAUAGCUAAGUAAGAGUCUUACCAGACUUCCAGUUCUGCUUAACAAAACUUUAUUGUCUUUUUUAUGCCAGGUACCUUGCUGCUUUCCACCAAGACAUGAUAGUUUAAUUCCUUCAAAUCUAAUAAUCUUCACUGCUAAUAUCUUAGUUCAGGGUCUCUUACUUCUUAUCUCAGCUAUGGCACUAUUUUCCAGUGAGGUCUUCCUUCUAUAGUAAUCUAUCUGAAGUCCAUAUUCCCCCAUAUUGUUAGAGUGAUUGUUUUACAGACAAAUAUGGUUCUAUCACCCCUUCUCCUCUAUUGCUCAGACUUCCAAUGGCUCCCCAUUGUUUUUGAGACUCUCUUUUUGCAUCUCCAUCAGUGAUAAAAAUAUUCCCCUAAAUAUUAAUUUCUUUAUGCAAUCCUAUUUUACUUAGCUUAACAGAUUUUGUUUUCCAAAGAUAGGCCCACAUAUUCUUAUAAAACCUUGUGACUUCCCCCUCAAGAGCUGGAAUCUAUAUACUGUCCCCUUUCAACUGGUUGAAACUUCUUGGCUACUUCAAAAAUAAGGUGUAGUAUAAGUGAUUACCUAUGAUUCUCAAGGUUAGGGUAUAGAAAUGCCAUGCACUGCUAUUUGUUUUUUUUCCUCUUGCUUAAUCUCAGAACCGAGCCACCACACUGUCAGGAAGCCAAAUGACGGUACUUAGGAAGGAGAGGCCUAGGUGGAGAAGAACAGAAACUUCUAGCCUUUGAUCCUGGCUGAACUCCCAGCCAAUGAACAGCAUCCAACUGCCAACCAUAAACUCCCAUGCUGGUUGACUAAUCCUGUGAAACAAAUGAGGACACAAAGAGAAGGCAACCAUCUGCAAACCAGGAGGAAGGUCCUCACCAGGAACUCAAUUGGAUGACACCUUGAUCUCGAACUUCCCAGCCUGAGAACUGUGAGAAUUAGAUGCUGUUGUUUAGCCACCAGCCCAUUUUUGUUAUUACAGCCCAGCAGUCUAAGAUGCCACACCUAAGGAAGAUUUUGUUAUUUUUUUGUUUCCUUUCUGGGGCUUGAAAACUGCCCCCUGUCAUCGCCUGUAUUCUUCAUAUUUAUAAGUUUUUGGUAAAAACUCUAUUCUCAGCCUUCCAGAAUUUGUUUCUUGAUAUUUAAAGGAUAGACUGUGAAAAUAAAAACAAAACACAAAACCAAAAACCUUCUCUAUCU